Molecule: long non-coding RNA, 493 nt
Organism: Neodiprion virginianus
Lineage: Eukaryota; Metazoa; Arthropoda; Insecta; Hymenoptera; Diprionidae
Exons: 2
Source: RefSeq, a predicted model, not a curated record
UUUAUGCACGUAACACAUCCCAGGUAAGUGUAAUUGACAUUGUGUUAUGUUAUGACAAAGUUUUUUUUUUUGUCGCAGUUAAAGUUGGAAUCACAAAAAGGAUUAGAAAGCUAUAGAAUCAGUUAUACCUAGAAGUUUGCUUCAAUAAGAUUGUCGGUAGAGUACAUAAAUAAUAUGGAUUUAGCGUAGAUAAGAUGCAGGGUCGUUGCCGCGCGUGGAGGAGCAACGAAUUGCGCGCCAAACAGGGAAUCGAGGAAAAUUAAAGGCACAACUCAGUACCGACAGUACCUUCGAUAAUGACGCGAGGGAAGCUGAACGGCAGUGGAGUCCGUUAAUUUGGCAAGUGCUCUACAGACCUCAAGACGCAGGGACCGUCAAGUAAUCGAAAACGGCGAAUAUGCGAGAGAUUAUCGCCUGGCGGCAUCGCGUAAGGAUUACAACGCAACGUCUUUAAAAGUCACCACCGGCGGAUUUCUUGAAUUAUGGGACAAGG